GAAAACACGAAAAAAAAAGAACCAUUCAAAUUUUGAAUUGUCAUUACCGAAGAGAGUCAGUCUUUUGUUCCCCAAAUUAUAGAAUCCAAAUGAACCCAGCAAACCAUCCCUCUUCUGCCCCAAUGUCUUCCCAUUUUCGGCGACUUCUCCUCCAAUUUCUUCCCAUUUUCGGCGACAUCUCAACCACUUGAAAUAGCCGGAAUCCACGUACCCGUCACCUCUGACUAUCACGUGACUGCAUAUUUCUUUGAGGAUCGAGGAUUCAAAGACCGUCUCUGGCCAUCGCGUGAAGGAGUCCGUUCCAGAUCAAAGAUUCAGUCGCCGUCUCCUGCUUGUGCUCACUACAAUUUAAUUUUUAAGUUUGAAUUUAACAUUGGCAACACCGUUCAAGAUCGAUGAAGGCUUCACAGAUCUCCAACAUCAAAUCCACUGAAUUUGAAAAAGUUGCCUUCACAGCUCUACACUUAUCAUUUGUGGUUGCCUCAAUCAAAGCCGAUCGAAUCAGUUGACGAUAUGUCUUGUAUGUUUCGAUCGCAAGUUCGGCUUAACAAUGAUCAAGAACUCCACAUAUCUAUGAACGUGACGAUCCGCAUAGGCAAGUCGAGCACCAAAGGGAACACCAAAUGCAAGGCACUGGCUUGAUUAAAGGUGGAUGUUCACAUCCGUGCAUCGAAUUUUGUGUUCAAGUGUGAAGAAAAUGGAAAUGUCAGUUUCAACAUUUUGUAAAUUUAACAAUUGUAUCAUGACUUAAUGCUAAAUUUUGUGUUGAUGUUACGGAUUUGCUUCACACAACAUGCAUUAUCAUUCGAGGUUCUCUUU
Molecule: long non-coding RNA, 819 nt
Organism: Olea europaea var. sylvestris
Lineage: Eukaryota; Viridiplantae; Streptophyta; Magnoliopsida; Lamiales; Oleaceae
Exons: 2
Source: RefSeq, a predicted model, not a curated record